GUCCAAGUGGUUUCUCUCCCCCAAAGCCCGGAGCCUAUAGAGGCAGCCCCUUUGGUAAUAAUACUGUAAGAACUGAACACAGCCUGGAGAAGGAGAGAGAAAACAUCACUACAUUGGUUAUUCAGAAGUGUGUUUGAUAUUCCAGUAUUUACCAAACAAAAGUGUUUUCUUCUAAGCACAUAUGACACAAAAUUAAUUCAUCCCUUGAAUUAGCAAGAUGAAAACCUGCCCAAGUGAAGCUAUGGACACGAAGUCCCAUCCUGAACAUCUCUAAGCCACAUGCAGCACUGCC
Poecile atricapillus (Black-capped chickadee) is the source of this 292-nucleotide long non-coding RNA. RefSeq lists it as uncharacterized. NCBI's taxonomy places the organism in Eukaryota, Metazoa, Chordata, Aves, Passeriformes, Paridae. The transcript has 3 exons. The record is from RefSeq and is a predicted model, not a curated record.